AUGUCGAUGCCGUGGCCGAUCGGCCCUGAUGCGCCGCCGCCCUCCGGACCCUUGUUGUCGUCCAUCGGGUCGCGCAGGGGAGCGAGUGUCGGAGCAGCCUUGGGCGCGAGCGCCUGCUCCUCCUCUGCCGCGGGUCGCGCCUGUUGGAGUUCGGCGACCGCGGUGGAGAGCCUGUCGACGCGCCGUUCCAGCUCCGGGCGCCAGGCGACCAGAUCCUCCAAUUUGGCCGCCGUCGAACGGAUAUCCGCCAGGAUUCCGCCUAGCGAGGAGGUCAACUUGUCGAAAUAUUCCUUGAAGGCGGGAUCCAUGGCGCUGAUUCGAUCCCUGAUCGAUUUUUGCCGCCGCGUCUCGAUGAGGUGCGCCAGCCUCAAAUCCAAGGCUCUGAAUACCAGACGUUAG
This 399-nucleotide ribosomal RNA is filed under the name Triticum aestivum (bread wheat). RNAcentral describes it as "partial small subunit ribosomal RNA". The record is from RNAcentral. Lineage: Eukaryota; Viridiplantae; Streptophyta; Magnoliopsida; Poales; Poaceae.